CGGCGGCUAGAGUCACUAACGCGUCUCAACUAGUGGCGCGUCGGUGCUUGUGCUUGCCGACAAUGAAGUCAGCGGCGCCGGGGAAGCCUGUCGUUCGCCCGCACCAGCCGCCCGAUGCCAUGUCCUCACGGCCCCACUCGCGGCCGGGGCGUGCAGGGCGCCUGGAGCGUACAGCC
Molecule: small nucleolar RNA, 176 nt
Filed under: Chlamydomonas reinhardtii
Lineage: Eukaryota; Viridiplantae; Chlorophyta; Chlorophyceae; Chlamydomonadales; Chlamydomonadaceae
Description: CrACA35g snoRNA
Source: RNAcentral